UGGGGAAUUUUGGACAAUGGGGGCAACCCUGAUCCAGCCAUGCCGCGUGAGUGAAGAAGGCCUUCGGGUUGUAAAGCUCUUUCGGACGGGACGAAAUGGUUAGCGUGAAUAACGCUGACUGAUGACGGUACCGUAAUAAGAAGCACCGGCUAACUACGUGCCAGCAGCCGCGGUAAUACGUAGGGUGCGAGCGUUAAUCGGAAUUACUGGGCGUAAAGGGUGCGUAGGCGGUUAAAUAAGUUAGAUGUGAAAUCCCCGGGCUUAACCUGGGAAUUGCGAUGGAGACUGCAAGGCUAGAAUCUGGCAGAGGGGGGUAGAAUUCCACGUGUAGCAGUGAAAUGCGUAGAGAUGUGGAGGAACACCGAUGGCGAAGGCAGCCCCCUGGGUCAAGAUUGACGCUCAUGCACGAAAGCGUGGGGAGCGAACAGGAUUAGAUACCCGAGUAGUCCCUGAGCGGGCUGGCAAGGCG
RNAcentral lists this ribosomal RNA (469 nucleotides) under uncultured bacterium. RNAcentral's name for it is "bacterial SSU rRNA". It matches the Rfam family "Bacterial small subunit ribosomal RNA", at positions 355 to 822 of the family's 1533-position model. The record is from RNAcentral.